CCGAUUUUCUCCGGCGAUUAGAAAUGCCAGUUGUUACAGCUUUCCUAUUGGCACAGGGCGGGGAUGCGACAGACACUCAUGAGCAUGUCAGGACUAGCGUACUGGACACAGAUGAUAGAUGAAGAUAAGACUUGAAGACGGGGCUCCAAGACAAGUCACCUGCUUCUUCUGUAACAUCGCCUAGACAGCCACCACCUGCUGACAACCACCCAAUGACAUGGGCCAAGCUACUAGCAGCACUCAGCCAAGGCACCACCUACAGGAGCUCUGAUUGGAGGAUUGCCCAGCUCCACUGAUUGGUCCAGCCAUGCUAUUUAAGCCAGAAGGAAGCACAAGAAAUAGUUGGAGGAACAAGGUGAUUUCCUGCUGUUGCUGCAUUGGCCCUGUUUCCUUCACCCAACCCUGUUCCUGCUGUGCUCUUGGCUCUCCACUGUUCCUAUUACCACUGUGAUCCUGCUCUGUGAUUGAUCCUGGCCUCUCCUCUAGUUCCUGCCCUUAUGCCUCUCUUGCAACCAUCAGUUAUCAGUCCUGGCUUGACCCUGGCCUUCAACUUCUGACUCCAGCUUCACUCUUGGCUCAAGAAUUUAGUAUCUGACUUUGGUUCUGAGCCUCAGCUUUGAUUCCACACUUGACCCCUGGCUCUGGUAAUUGUCGGCUGACUCUGGCUCUGAUCCUUUGCUUUGUUCCCCACGCUGGAUGCCUGCUCUGCCUUCUAAACCUGAUUCCUGCUCUGACCACUAGUCCAGACUGCUUUCAUCCCAGUCCAUUACAGGUCUGGGAAAAGGCACUCCUUUAGAUCUUAGGCCUCCAGCUAUCACCAGGUCCUAUGUUCUUCUCCAUUCAGACCAGGAGUCUAGGUUUGCCAUUCCCCAGCAAUGCACUAUGUUGAUCCCAGAAGAGUCCCUCACCUGCAAUUAACUCUGUCGCAGAGUGAAUGACUAGUUUACUAGUGACCAUCCAGCUUUCACAAAGCACAGUAGAUUUAUUUUAGGGCAAAAGCAUUACACAGAAAACAUCUUAAACGAUGAAGAGUUUAUACUUCUGAUAAUUUCCAGGUGUCACCCCUAUUUCAUGUGGAGAUCCUGAUAGGUAAUAGUCCUAUAGUUUUGUCAAUCUCAUGUCAGCUUUUUGUCAGCUCUGUGAGGGGAAUGUGGGGAGUGUCUUUCUUCUUCUCAGUUAGGGGCCACAGUGAAGGUUUUUUUCCCCGCUUCUUACUUGUGCAGCCCCCUGACUGAUUUUUCUGUGGGUCAGUGGCCCCCAACCCAAAAAAAGAUUCCCCACUCCUGCUUUAUGGCCUCACAUCUUUCAUAGUUCUUUUUCUAUAUUUGCUUGUUAUACUCCCCCCUCCUUUUACAUUUUGAUGGUUAAAUCUUGUUUGUUUUUUCAGAACUUUUGUCCAGUUUUCCAAGAUAGAAUCUAAGAAUAAACAAAGCCCUGGGUUAUGUACACUCUCCCAUUUUAGUAUCUUCCCACUGAUUUGCUGUUUUCCCAACUGGAUUGGGCAAUUGAGAAAGGGUGGCAUUCCAGGCAGCCUCCUAAGUUAAUGCCAUUCUAUUACUAAUUCUAUGUUUAUUUUUCACCAGUUUUGUAUCUGUUUGUAGAGAGCAAACCUGCCAAGUAUCAUGCAUCUCACUUGACAUUUCUGCACUUGGCAGGCCUGUCAUGCUCUCCUGCAGACAUUACAAAAUGACUUUUUUAAAAGAGAGAGAGAGAAACUCAGAAAAUGCAUUGCAGCCUAGGGUUGGGUCUACACGGCUCUUAUUUUGAAAUAGAGCACUCUUCCUCCCACUUCCCUUACUCCUCGUA
Molecule: non-coding RNA, 1806 nt
Organism: Pelodiscus sinensis (Chinese soft-shelled turtle)
Lineage: Eukaryota; Metazoa; Chordata; Testudines; Trionychidae
Source: RefSeq, a predicted model, not a curated record